AGGCGCUCGGCGUCCUCCCACCCGGAUCCAUUGCACACUGUGGCCAGGCGUCGAUUGGAGCCCCGUGGCUCCUGCCCAGCCAACCUGCCCUCCUCCCUCAGAGGAUCCAAGUCUGUUCCCAGAAUGUUCCUAGCGGCACUGCAUAUUGGAGCCCAGCUGCGAACACCCAAGGAACCAUCAACAGGUUGGAACCAUCGCCGGAGAGAUGACUCAGCCAUUAAGAGCACUUGAUCCAGUGACCAAGGACCUAAGUUGAGUUCCCAGCGCCCAUGCUGGCCAGUUCACAAUUGACUGAAACUCCAGCUUCAAAGGCUCCAACACCCUAUUUGGCUCCUCAGACACCUGCAUACACCUGCUACACACACACAGACACAGACACAUAAAUAAACAUAAAACUAAAAACAGACAAACAUAGAUAGAAGUUAAGUAUUUGGAGUGAAAGAGACCAGGAAAAAAAAUUGAUUUAUUUUUCCUAAAUGAAAUGGGCUUGGGGACCUGAAUUUAAACCCUAAUUCUAUCAUUAAUCACCUGUAUAUUCUAGGACAUGUUUCUUGUCAAUGCCUCAGUUUUCUGUUCUCUAAAUGUUUAUCAAAAGAUUAAUUGAGAUUGAGUAAUGUAUGUCAAACAUUUAGGUGACACAUAAAAUUUUGUAGACUAUACAAGUUAUGAUUAUGAUUUUUUGUGACACACCUCUCUGUAGCCCACACUGGCCUCGAACUUACUAUGUAGCUCAGGGCAGCUAUUCUAUCCUCAUGCCUCAGGCUCCUGAAUACUGAGUAUUGAGAUUCUGAGAUUGGGAAUUGGGAUUGGGAUUCUUCUUAA
Molecule: non-coding RNA, 822 nt
Organism: Peromyscus maniculatus bairdii (prairie deer mouse)
Lineage: Eukaryota; Metazoa; Chordata; Mammalia; Rodentia; Cricetidae
Source: RefSeq, a predicted model, not a curated record